This 1355-nucleotide ribosomal RNA is filed under the name uncultured bacterium. RNAcentral describes it as "bacterial SSU rRNA". It matches the Rfam family "Bacterial small subunit ribosomal RNA", at positions 28 to 1381 of the family's 1533-position model. The record is from RNAcentral.
AUUGAACGCUGGCGGCAGGCUUAACACAUGCAAGUCGAACGAUGACUCUCUAGCUUGCUAGAGAAGAUUAGUGGCGGACGGGUGAGUAACAUUUAGGAAUCUGCCUAGUAGUGGGGGAUAGCUCGGGGAAACUCGAAUUAAUACCGCAUACGACCUACGGGUGAAAGGGGGCGCAAGCUCUUGCUAUUAGAUGAGCCUAAAUCAGAUUAGCUAGUUGGUGGGGUAAAGGCCCACCAAGGCGACGAUCUGUAACUGGUCUGAGAGGAUGAUCAGUCACACCGGAACUGAGACACGGUCCGGACUCCUACGGGAGGCAGCAGUGGGGAAUAUUGGACAAUGGGGGCAACCCUGAUCCAGCCAUGCCGCGUGUGUGAAGAGGGCCUUUUGGUUGUAAAGCACUUUAAGCAGGGAGGAGAGGCUAAUGGUUAAUACCCAUUAGAUUAGACGUUACCUGCAGAAUAAGCACCGGCUAACUCUGUGCCAGCAGCCGCGGUAAUACAGAGGGUGCGAGCGUUAAUCGGAAUUACUGGGCGUAAAGCGAGUGUAGGUGGCUCAUUAAGUCACAUGUGAAAUCCCCGGGCUUAACCUGGGAACUGCAUGUGAUACUGGUGGUGCUAGAAUAUGUGAGAGGGAAGUAGAAUUCCAGGUGUAGCGGUGAAAUGCGUAGAGAUCUGGAGGAAUACCGAUGGCGAAGGCAGCUUCCUGGCAUAAUAUUGACACUGAGAUUCGAAAGCGUGGGUAGCAAACAGGAUUAGAUACCCUGGUAGUCCACGCCGUAAACGAUGUCUACUAGCCGUUGGGGUCCUUGAGACUUUAGUGGCGCAGUUAACGCGAUAAGUAGACCGCCUGGGGAGUACGGCCGCAAGGUUAAAACUCAAAUGAAUUGACGGGGGCCCGCACAAGCGGUGGAGCAUGUGGUUUAAUUCGAUGCAACGCGAAGAACCUUACCUGGUCUUGACAUAGUGAGAAUCCUGCAGAGAUGCGGGAGUGCCUUCGGGAAUUCACAUACAGGUGCUGCAUGGCUGUCGUCAGCUCGUGUCGUGAGAUGUUGGGUUAAGUCCCGCAACGAGCGCAACCCUUUUCCUUAUUUGCCAGCGGGUUAAGCCGGGAACUUUAAGGAUACUGCCAGUGACAAACUGGAGGAAGGCGGGGACGACGUCAAGUCAUCAUGGCCCUUACGACCAGGGCUACACACGUGCUACAAUGGUAGGUACAGAGGGUUGCUACACAGCGAUGUGAUGCUAAUCUCAAAAAGCCUAUCGUAGUCCGGAUUGGAGUCUGCAACUCGACUCCAUGAAGUCGGAAUCGCUAGUAAUCGCAGAUCAGAAUGCUGCGGUGAAUACGUUCCCGGGCCU